CGUAAACCAAGGCAGAACUAUACACUCUGCCCGCCAGAAUACUUUUAGUCAAAACUUUAAACUCAAAGGACUUGACGGUGUUGCAAAUCGCCCUAGAGGAGCCUGUCCAAUAAUCGAUAACCCACGUUUCACCUUACCCACUUUCGCCAUUAGCAGUCUAUAUACCGCCGUCGCAAACCUACCUUUAUUGAAAGUACCACCGUAGGUAAAAUAGCCCAUCCCGCUAGCACGUCAGGUCAAGGUGUAACCAAUGAGUGGGAUUUGAGAUGGGCUACACUCUCUCAACACGAGAGACUUUUUUCCCCUAAUGAAAUGUGGGUUAAAUGUUGGAUUUAGCAGUAAAUCAGACAAGAGAGUCAAGUUGAACCGCGCCCUG
RNAcentral lists this ribosomal RNA (376 nucleotides) under Paroedura bastardi. RNAcentral describes it as "partial 12S ribosomal RNA". It matches the Rfam family "Bacterial small subunit ribosomal RNA", at positions 801 to 1376 of the family's 1533-position model. The record is from RNAcentral. Lineage: Eukaryota; Metazoa; Chordata; Lepidosauria; Squamata; Gekkonidae.